GAUGAAGAACGUAGCGAAAUGCGAUACGUAAUGUGAAUUGCAAAUUCGGUGAAUCAUCGAGUCUUUGAACGCACAUUGCGCCCCCUGGUAUUCCGGGGGGCAUGCCUGUCCGAGCGUCAUUGCUGCCCUCAAGCACGGCUUGUGUGUUGGGCCCCGUCCUCCGAUCCCGGGGGACGGGCCCGAAAGGCAGCGGCGGCACCGCGUCCGGUCCUCGAGCGUAUGGGGCUUUGUCACCCGCUCUGUAGGCCCGGCCGGCGCUUGCCGAUCAACCCAAAUUUUUUAUCCAGGUUGACCUCGGAUCAGGUAGGGAUACCCGCUGAACUUAAGCAUAUCAAUAAGCGGAGGA
Molecule: unclassified non-coding RNA, 346 nt
Filed under: soil metagenome
Description: partial contains 5.8S ribosomal RNA, internal transcribed spacer 2, and large subunit ribosomal RNA
Rfam family: 5.8S ribosomal RNA (bases 1-119)
Source: RNAcentral